AGCGGACAGAUGGGAGCUUGCUCCCUGAUGUUAGCGGCGGACGGGUGAGUAACACGUGGGUAACCUGCCUGUAAGACUGGGAUAACUCCGGGAAACCGGGGCUAAUACCGGAUGGUUGUUUGAACCGCAUGGUUCAAACAUAAAAGGUGGCUUCGGCUACCACUUACAGAUGGACCCGCGGCGCAUUAGCUAGUUGGUGAGGUAACGGCUCACCAAGGCAACGAUGCGUAGCCGACCUGAGAGGGUGAUCGGCCACACUGGGACUGAGACACGGCCCAGACUCCUACGGGAGGCAGCAGUAGGGAAUCUUCCGCAAUGGACGAAAGUCUGACGGAGCAACGCCGCGUGAGUGAUGAAGGUUUUCGGAUCGUAAAGCUCUGUUGUUAGGGAAGAACAAGUACCGUUCGAAUAGGGCGGUACCUUGACGGUACCUAACCAGAAAGCCACGGCUAACUACGUGCCAGCAGCCGCGGUAAUACGUAGGUGGCAAGCGUUGUCCGGAAUUAUUGGGCGUAAAGGGCUCGCAGGCGGUUUCUUAAGUCUGAUGUGAAAGCCCCCGGCUCAACCGGGGAGGGUCAUUGGAAACUGGGGAACUUGAGUGCAGAAGAGGAGAGUGGAAUUCCACGUGUAGCGGUGAAAUGCGUAGAGAUGUGGAGGAACACCAGUGGCGAAGCGACUCUCUGGUCUGUAACUGACGCUGAGGAGCGAAAGCGUGGGGAGCGAACAGGAUUAGAUACCCUGGUAGUCCACGCCGUAAACGAUGAGUGCUA
Molecule: ribosomal RNA, 770 nt
Filed under: Bacillus subtilis
Lineage: Bacteria; Bacillati; Bacillota; Bacilli; Caryophanales; Bacillaceae
Description: bacterial SSU rRNA
Rfam family: Bacterial small subunit ribosomal RNA
Source: RNAcentral